GCCCAUAGUGGAAUACCAAAAACCAUCGUGAGGUCCAAAACACUCUCUCCCUCACAUUCACUCUCGUUUUUUUGUUUGCCAACGAAAGAAACUCCAACGAAGCUAGUCGCGCUGGUGUGUCACCGGCGAUGGCGAUUCGGAAAUACCUAACCCUCACCGCUCUCCAAUGUCUCUCCCAAUUGAAUUCAUAAUCAGACUCCCCUACUUAAAUAUACCAAAACAAUUACGUCUGAUCCUCGUCGUGGAUGAAUCAACGUCGAACAAUCAGAAGAGCACGACUCGACUAACGACUACACAAAUCUAUGCUUCACAUUACUGCAUCCAGUAAACCAGAUAGAUCGAGAAAAUAUGAGAAGCCUACCGGCAAAGGCAAAGGAGACUUCGAUGGCGACGUUAGCUCGAGCUUCCGGUAAUCGCUUCUCACUUUGCUUCCGCUUCUGUUGAUCAGCGACGAUGUGUCCUCGCGGUUUGCUUGGUUCGUAAGUGCGGUGAUAUUGUGGUUGCAGUCCUGCUUGAAACAAUGCGGCGACAACGGCGACCGGAGUUGGGUUACCAAUGGUUUUGGAAGUUUGGAGAGAAGAGUUUGUUAUCUGUGAAACGAAAAAAAUGGAAGAAGCCUCGAGAAGCUAUUGUAACCUCCUACUUAUACUCCUUGAAGAACUGAAUUUUUGGGCUAGGCUUGGCUGCUAGGCUUUAUUGACAUUUAUGCAGGUGUGAAGUGUUGGCUUGUGCGUUUAAACAGCGCUUGGAAGCCACUCUUGUUGGCAGCUUGGAACACGUUUUGGAAGCUUGUGAGUGAGUUGCUGUUCUGGCGUAAUGUCGCUUACGUUUCGGAUGGUGACGGUGCACCGCUUAUGCGAGUCGCGUUUGGAAUGUUGAGCUCUUCUUUGGACGUAUUGGCUUGUGUAGCGUUUGCUUUAUGCUGUAGUUGACGUUAGCGCUGCGUUUUACAGCUUGAGUUUGGCUUCACUUGCCUUGUGUUCAUGAAGCUUGUUACAGCUUUUGACCUCUGUUGUCGGCUUUGGUGCGACGCUGUUUUGGUGGCUUAGACUUGAGCUUUGGUAGCAACCUUUGGCUCUUGUGUCGCUGUUGAGUGCUUGGCCACUUGGCUUACACUAUUCACGCCGUUGCGUUUUAGUUUGUGCUUUAGCUUUGUAUGUUGGCUUCAGUUUAGAAGAGUUAAGCUGAUUUUGUGUUGAUGUUCAUGCCGCUUGUACCAGCUUUUGUAGCAGCUAAUGCAUAGUGUAUCGCAUUUCAGCUUUUCCAUUUGGCUUUGUUGCUGGUUGGAGCGCGCGCUAUGUAGCAGCCGUUAGCAGCUUUUUUUCA
Molecule: long non-coding RNA, 1326 nt
Organism: Lathyrus oleraceus (garden pea)
Lineage: Eukaryota; Viridiplantae; Streptophyta; Magnoliopsida; Fabales; Fabaceae
Exons: 2
Source: RefSeq, a predicted model, not a curated record